GACGAACGCUGGCGGCGUGCCUAAUACAUGCAAGUUGAGCGAUGAAGAUUGGUGCUUGCCCCAAUUUGAAGAGCAGCGAACGGGUGAGUAACGCGUGGGGAAUCUGCCUUUGAGCGGGGGACAACAUUUGGAAACGAAUGCUAAUACCGCAUAACAACUUUAAACAUAAGUUUUAAGUUUGAAAGAUGCAAUUGCAUCACUCAAAGAUGAUCCCGCGUUGUAUUAGCUAGUUGGUGAGGUAAAGGCUCACCAGGGCGAUGAUACAUAGCCGACCUGAGAGGGUGAUCGGCCACAUUGGGACUGAGACACGGCCCAAACUCCUACGGGAGGCAGCAGUAGGGAAUCUUCGGCAAUGGACGAAAGUCUGACCGAGCAACGCCGCGUGAGUGAAGAAGGUUUUCGGAUCGUAAAACUCUGUUGGUAGAGAAGAACGUUGGUGAGAGUGGAAAGCUCAUCAAGUGACGGUAACUACCCAGAAAGGGACGGCUAACUACGUG
Molecule: ribosomal RNA, 497 nt
Filed under: uncultured bacterium
Lineage: Bacteria
Description: partial 16S ribosomal RNA
Rfam family: Bacterial small subunit ribosomal RNA
Source: RNAcentral